GACGAACGCUGGCGGCGUGCCUAAUACAUGCAAGUUGAGCGCUGAAGGUUGGUACUUGUACCAACUGGAUGAGCAGCGAACGGGUGAGUAACGCGUGGGGAAUCUGCCUUUGAGCGGGGGACAACAUUUGGAAACGAAUGCUAAUACCGCAUAAAAACUUUAAACACAAGUUUUAAGUUUGAAAGAUGCAAUUGCAUCACUCAAAGAUGAUCCCGCGUUGUAUUAGCUAGUUGGUGAGGUAAAGGCUCACCAAGGCGAUGAUACAUAGCCGACCUGAGAGGGUGAUCGGCCACAUUGGGACUGAGACACGGCCCAAACUCCUACGGGAGGCAGCAGUAGGGAAUCUUCGGCAAUGGACGAAAGUCUGACCGAGCAACGCCGCGUGAGUGAAGAAGGUUUUCGGAUCGUAAAACUCUGUUGGUAGAGAAGAACGUUGGUGAGAGUGGAAAGCUCAUCAAGUGACGGUAACUACCCAGAAA
This 479-nucleotide ribosomal RNA is filed under the name Lactococcus lactis. RNAcentral describes it as "bacterial SSU rRNA". It matches the Rfam family "Bacterial small subunit ribosomal RNA", at positions 28 to 489 of the family's 1533-position model. The record is from RNAcentral. Lineage: Bacteria; Bacillati; Bacillota; Bacilli; Lactobacillales; Streptococcaceae.